This 71-nucleotide transfer RNA is filed under the name Chaeturichthys stigmatias (finespot goby). Its description in RNAcentral is "tRNA-Tyr". It matches the Rfam family "tRNA". From Rfam's summary of the family: Transfer RNA (tRNA) molecules are approximately 80 nucleotides in length. Their secondary structure includes four short double-helical elements and three loops (D, anti-codon, and T loops). Lineage: Eukaryota; Metazoa; Chordata; Actinopteri; Gobiiformes; Gobiidae. The record is from RNAcentral.
UAAAAUGACUGAGAGUUUAAGUGGUGGAUUGUAGCCACGCUCACAGAGGUUUGAAUCCUCUUUUUACCAAG